UUAAGGAAAUAAUUAUAUAAAAUUAUUGCAAGAAUCAAACAUCAAAUUGGAAUCGUACCAAAUCAAACCGGAAUCGAAGAACUAAAAUUGUACUGAAUCAAAACUAAAACAGUGAAUAACUGAAUCGAAACUGUACUAAAAUUUUAGUUAAAUUCCGAGCAGACCCCAGCUGUUGUGAUAUGCAAGUGCUUGCUUGCCAUUAAUAUAAUAAUCAACCAAAUUGAACUCCUCUUUGCAUCUUACGGGAUCCAAGGUUGGGCCAAGUAUACUUGGGCCUAAUACAUCUGUAGCAAUUGGUCUUAUUUAUGUAUCUUGCAUACGGUGCAACUUUUCAUCACCAUACAAUUUCUGUGGGGAUUGACUGUCUUAGAUCUUUGAACUUGGAACUUGUUCCUGAAUGCCAUGGACACUUGGGUUUGGUUUCUUUAAGGCUGAAGCUUCAUGUGAUAUUAGCCAGCAAGGGGUCUUCAGCUGAUCCAUAAAGAUCAAGUUGUUUUCCUUGUUGAAUUUCGUUGUUUAUAUUAUCAUUUUGGCAAAACCAGAUCUCCUUAUUGCAAACACAUACGUGUUUUGAUGAUCUAAGGCCAUGUUUUGUUUUAGCGAGUCCAGAGGAGGGAUCUUGAAGAAUUAAUGGAUUUGAGUAAAAUCCAUUGAUUGGUUGAGUAAAAUAUGAUCAAAUUUGUUCAAAAUCUUUCAUCUAGUGAAAUCCCUCAAAGUUAGGGUUUUGAGAACUCACCUGCCAUCCUCCUAGGUUCGGAUAUAUACAUUAUAUCUCUUGUGACCUAUGGUUUAAUUUUGAACAUUUCAAUGGAAGUCUCUUUUUAUUUCUUGUGUUCUUUGUCAUAGAAUGUCUGAAGGCCAUUAUUGAAUCCUGUAACAUCGUUUCCUGCUCUUCAUUCAUUCAAAAUGUAAAGGCCUAUUUACGCUGAGGCACAGCAAGAGAGAUGCUUAGUUAUUAUAAGGAGGCAAUUGAUGGUGAGGAUAGCAUCAUAUUUUAUAUGCAUCUUCUGCCUGUUAAGUAGAUUUUUCCUUGUUUAUUAACUUUUUAUCUAUGUUGGCUGUGCUGGAUCUUACAAAAAUGGAAUAUUUACAUAAUGCGUGGCAAUAUUUUUGAAAUGACGUGG
Molecule: unclassified non-coding RNA, 1124 nt
Filed under: Hevea brasiliensis (rubber tree)
Lineage: Eukaryota; Viridiplantae; Streptophyta; Magnoliopsida; Malpighiales; Euphorbiaceae
Source: RNAcentral